This 253-nucleotide ribosomal RNA is filed under the name uncultured bacterium. RNAcentral describes it as "partial 16S ribosomal RNA". It matches the Rfam family "Bacterial small subunit ribosomal RNA", at positions 524 to 776 of the family's 1533-position model. The record is from RNAcentral.
UACGUAGGUGGCGAACGUUGUCCGGAUUUACUGGGCGUAAAGCGCGCGCAGGCGGAUUGGUAAGUCUGAAGUGAAAUCUCCCGGCUCAACCGGGAGGGUGCUUUGGAUACUGCUAGUCUUGAGGUGCCUAGAGGAGAGUGGAAUUCCCGGUGUAGUGGUGGAAUGCGUAGAUAUCGGGAGGAACACCAGUGGCGAAAGCGACUCUCUGGGGGCGACCUGACGCUGAGGCGCGAAAGCGUGGGGAGCGAACCGG